GGGACUUAAUCGAGAACUUUAAGAAUUUUUUACGACAUUUCAAAAUUUUCCCAAUGUGCAGGGCUCACAUGCCCGUGUGUUCCAAGGGAUACGCCCUUGUGACCCUGGGACACACCCUUGCUAGAGGCUGUGUUCAACCCCGUGUAACUCUCUGACUUGUGCACACGGCUAUGUCACAUGCCCGUGUACUAGGCCAUGUGGUUAAUUAAUUCAAUUUGA
Molecule: long non-coding RNA, 219 nt
Filed under: Gossypium barbadense (sea-island cotton)
Lineage: Eukaryota; Viridiplantae; Streptophyta; Magnoliopsida; Malvales; Malvaceae
Description: long non-coding RNA (GBAR_LNC011211)
Source: RNAcentral